RNAcentral lists this ribosomal RNA (460 nucleotides) under uncultured bacterium. RNAcentral describes it as "partial 16S ribosomal RNA". It matches the Rfam family "Bacterial small subunit ribosomal RNA", at positions 338 to 795 of the family's 1533-position model. The record is from RNAcentral.
CCUACGGGUGGCAGCAGUGAGGAAUAUUGGUCAAUGGACGCAAGUCUGAACCAGCCAUGCCGCGUGCUGGAAGACGGCUCUAUGAGUUGUAAACUGCUUUUAUACGGGAAUAAAGUCAGGGACGCGUCUCUGUCUGAAAGUAUCGUACGAAUAAGGAUCGGCUAACUCCGUGCCAGCAGCCGCGGUAAUACGGAGGAUUCGAGCGUUAUCCGGAUUUAUUGGGUUUAAAGGGUGCGUAGGCGGUCGUAUAAGUUAGCGGUGAAAGCCCGAGGCUCAACUUUGGAAUUGCCUUUGAUACUGGUCGGCUAGAGAGUAGUUGCGGCAGGCGGAAUGUAUGGUGUAGCGGUGAAAUGCUUAGAGAUCAUACAGAACACCGAUUGCGAAGGCAGCCUACCAAGCCACUUCUGACGUUGAGGCACGAAAGCGUGGGGAGCAAACAGGAUUAGAUACCCGGGUAGUC